Molecule: long non-coding RNA, 312 nt
Organism: Melospiza melodia melodia
Lineage: Eukaryota; Metazoa; Chordata; Aves; Passeriformes; Passerellidae
Exons: 2
Source: RefSeq, a predicted model, not a curated record
UUUCACUCGAAGCUUCAAAGAAGGGAUUUCUAGCUUGCAAAGGACCAAUUGCCUGAUGGAUUGUCAUGUACAUCAAAGAAGCUUGUAAGAGUAAAAGUGUACACUGUAGGCAUAAAUUUUACAAGAAGAAGGUUUGCUGAGCUCCUCCUAGUAUUAUCCAACUUGGUCACCUGGAUCUCUCCCUAGGAAUAUCUCUGUAGGAAUAUCUCUGUUUUGAUCCUCUUUUAUUCUGUUUGUGUUAUCUGAUUUAUGGCUGCUAGAGAGGAAAAUAAUAAACAUUAUUAACUCAAUGGAAUUCUGUCGUGUGCCUUU